AUGUCCACACCCUAGAACAGCAUAUGAUCAGUGUCCUCUCCACAAUCACUGAGUACACAGAUCCUCACCAUGGGAUGGAGCUGGAUCAUCCUCUUCCUCCUGUCAGUAACUACAGGUGUCCACUCCCAGGUCCAGCUGCAGCAGUCUGGUCCUGAGCUGAGGAAACCUGGGGACACAGUGAAGUUGUCCUGCAAGGCUUCAGGCUACACUUUCACUAGCCACUAUAUGCACUGGGUGAAGCAGAGUCCUGGACAGGGCCUGGAGUGGAUUGGAGGUAUUUAUCCUGGAAAUGGCGAUACUGGCUACAAUCAGAAGUAUAAGGGCAAGGCCACACUGACUGCAGACAAAUCCUCCAGCACAGCCUACAUGGAGCUCCGCAGCCUGACAUCUGAGGACUCUGCGGUCUAUUACUGUGCAAGAGACACAGUGUUCCAACCCACAUCCUGAGUGUGUCAGAAACCCUGGGGUAUCAGGAAGCUGCCCUGGGGCUGAGAUAACAGAAGAUUAGCCUGGAAACUAGCUCAAAAAUAAUCAUUCUUAGUGUUCCUUUGUCUGUCAUUUCACAAUCUUAUAGGGUCUUUGUCAACUUUUCAAAAGGACUGUUAGGAAUAAAAUGAUGCUGAUUUAGGAGGCUGUUAGAGUACACUGUAGGCAGAACUUUCUUGGUCCUGCCUGGCCCUGUGGUCCAGACUAAUCUUUCCCAUCCUUAGUCCCACAGCUGCUUAUAAAAUAAUCACUUAGCAGCUUUAUAUUAAUUACAAACUGUAUGGCCU
This is a non-coding RNA of Peromyscus leucopus (white-footed mouse), 773 nucleotides long. The record is from the annotation of a RefSeq genome assembly. NCBI's taxonomy places the organism in Eukaryota, Metazoa, Chordata, Mammalia, Rodentia, Cricetidae.